UGGAAAGGAAGUAUUUAGAUGGAUACGGGCCAAUUGCAGGCAAAUGGGUCCAGCCUAAUAUGCCAAAGAUAAAUUCAAAAUGCUGUAGUAACUCAGUGGGUUAGGCAGCAUCUCUGGAGAAAAGGAACAGGUGAUGUUUCGGGUCGAGACCCUUCUUCUGCCUCAUGUGCCAACUUGGUCAGCAUGGACAAGGUGGGCCGAUAGGGUUAUUUUUGUGCUGAACAAGUCUUUGACUAUUUAUUGAUUAUCUCUAAUUACUUUCCGAGAAGGUGGUGGUGAGCCACCUUCUUCAAGCCUUGUAAUCAUUAUGGUGAAGGUGCCCCAUAUAGUGCUUUAGUUCCAAGAUUUAGGCCCCAUGAAGAUGAUGAUAUUUCCAAGACAGAUAUUUCCAGAUGUUGCCUGACCUGUUGAUUUUCCCCAGCACUUUGUGUUUUGCUCAGGAUUUCUACAUCUGCAGCUUCUUGUGUCUCUAAGCAGAACUCCACAAAUACUGUAAAAUAGGGUUAAAGCAUCGCUAGCGAACACAAAUCUUUUGUCCGCCAACAAAAUAUCUGAUAUUCCAAAAUAUCAAUAUUUUAAGCUAGAGACAAGGAACUGCAGAAGUAGCAAUCUUGAGCAAAUCAGUGGGUCAUGCAGCAUCUCCAGAUGGAAUUGGACCCUCCUUCAAUUAAUGUGUCUUUUCAUGAAAGAAUUAAAUAAAAUCAUAAUCAAUCCUUUAUGAACAUAAAGAAUGUUCUUGUGUCACAAAGAAUGACAUCACAAACUGUAUAUGAAAUUCUGUUUUGGCAACACUAUCAAAUGAUUUUCUCUGAGGUUUGAUGGUUAGCCCAAUGGCUAGGGAUUUUUACUUAAAUGCACUUGCACUUUACUACUUUUUUUCAUGCUUCAUUUAGUGGAAUAAUGAGUUUAAUUGGGAAAAAGCACAACCGUUUGAGGAGACUUUAUGUCAACAGUCUAUUAUUUUUGAUGGUAUUUUUCGAUUUGGGUUCAAUGCUUACUCUUGAACGAGUGAAGAGAGAAAGCAAUGGGCGUGAGGCCAGCAUCAACUUCGCAAGAAAUCACUUUGGAUAUCUGGAUGACUAUGGAAUCAAACCAAUAAUUCCACGGCUCAGCAAGCAAAUAAAGAAAGUCCCAUCUCCGUUCCUAAUGAAAGCGGGUCGAAGCAAGAGAGAUGAUCCGGAGUUUGAUGACUUCUAUAAUUACCUUGGAUAACUAUCAGCAUCAAAUCGUUUUUUUAGAAUUAAUUUUCCAGCUGUGACUUGAAACAUGAAAUUUGGAAACUGCGCUGACACGAAUAGCAAUGAAACCAAAGUGCACAUUUUGUUUGGGACAUGUUAUAUAGUGUGUUUUAUUCCUUCAACUAGAAAGAAUGACUAUUUUGAAUCCUUUUUAUUAACUCUUUCUGAGCGUAUUGAUUUCCAGUGAGAGUUCAGUUCCAAUGUGGACAGUAUCUUCUAAUAUCUCACCCAACAAGUCAUGCUACCUGUGUGAGAGUGUUAUUGAAGAGACUACUGGCAGGAUGUGUGACUGACGCCAAGGCAUUUUUGGCCCAUUUCUGAUAUUAGCCAAGGUCAAAAAACACCAGCUGAUUAUCCCAACCAGCAUCUGGAGUCCUUGUUUCUACAUUUCUCUAUCCCUUAUCUCACUGUUCACUGCUCCUCAACAGGCCAGGAACUUGGAACCAACUCUUUUUACUUAUCCACAGGUCCCAUGUGGGGGCAAAGUCUAGCUUUGACCAUAACACAUUGUACAGAUUCCGGGAAAGAGAUGGUUAGGACAACUCCCAUUUCCUCAAGAUUUUAUACGAGUAAGAAACUGAGUACAAAAAGUCUUUCCUUAAAAGGACUUAUCAUUGCAUCUCUUUGCUCAUACAUCUGCUACAGUUUCAAUAGUUUUAUUUUGGGUAGUCUAGUUAGGGACUGAAUGGUGGGAGACCCCAUCCAGCCCCCUUGUUAACUGGGCUGAGGGACCAAGUGGGGAGAAGAUCUUGGAGGCCAAUAGCUUGAAUGCUUGUGAUGAACUGCAGCAAGCCAACAUGAGUAUCAUUCAUAACAGAUUACUGGAUUCUCUUGACCAUUCAUUGAUGAUGUCACAUCUAGCUGCCAAUUUACCAUUUUCAAUAUGUGUCCCUGUGUUCCAAGAGUAAAUGCACAAUCCCAGCCUGGUGAUUCCUUGUACAUUGAAAGGACCAGCUCUACUGUCAACGAUUUAAGCUGAAUCCAAGUAGACACCGCUGUAACUUUGGACUAAGAUAGAUUGAGUUGUUUAAAUCCAGAAAGCAAAUUAUUGUCUGCUAGGAUUAACACGAGGACAGGUUUAUCCUUGAUUUUAUCCGAACACUACAAUAAAAUUGUUAUUAGUUAUACUUCUAGCCGUGUGUUUUAUGCAUUCCUUAACACCUUUGGAAGCUCAACACUCUCCAGGACAAAUCAGCCCCCCGAGAUAGCACCAUUGUAUCCAACAGAUUCAGUUUGUAUUCCUGUCCACUAGCAUACAGUGGCUGCCAUCUGCAGAACGCACUACAGAACUCACCUCGGCUAUACUGGGUGAAUGCACACACUUUCUUACCCCAGUGUUGGGGAAUCAAGAGGUAGGGGACAUCAGUUUAAGGGGACAAGGGAAAGAUUUAAUAUGUAGUUUAGAUACGAUUUAGACAUUGGGCUUGGUUAUCUUGGUAGAGCGCUUACCCUGGUGAUGAAGCACAAGCACUUCAUAGGAACCUGAGGGGCUACUUUUACCACUCAGCAAGAGUGGUGGGUGUAGUGAACAUGCUGCCAGAGGAGGUAGUUGGGGCAGGAACAGUAACAAUAUUUAAAGGACAUUUGGGCAGGCACAUGGAUAGAAAGGAUUUAGAGGGACAUGUGACAAACAGUGCCAAGCGGGCAGCGUAGAUGGGCAUUUGGGUCAACAUAAAUGUUUUGGAUGAAGGGGCUGUUUCCAUGCUCUUAUGACCCUGUGUCUAAUCCCAAACCUCGACCACUUGGUUCCUCUUCAAAUCAGUCACCAUACUGACUCGGAAUUAUAAUGGUUUCAUUGUCAUGGGAUCCAAGUCCCUACUGAUAGACUUAUGAAUGAAUGUUCCCUCACCAAGUGGAUGGCAGAAGUUUACCACCAGCUCAAGUCCAUCUUCUCAAGAAGUAACAGCCGAUAGGUUUAGUUUAGUUUAGUUUAGAGAUACAGCGCCGAAACUGGUCCAUCGUCCCACCAAAUCUGCGCUGACUAGUGAUCACCCCACACACUAACAUGCACGAGGAACAGUUUACAAUUUUACCAAGCCAAUUAGCCUACAAACCUGUACGUCUUCAGAGUGUGGGAGGAAACCGGAGCUCCCGGAGAAAACCCAUGCCGGUCACGGGAAAACUUACAAACUCCGCCCAGAGAGCACCCAUAGUCAAGAUUGAACCCGGGUCUCUGGUACUGUUAGGCAGCAACUCUACCGCUGCGCUGCCUGCUACCGAUGUUAACCUUGAGCAUGUCUACAUCCUGCACGUGAUGACAAGCAUCAUAGAUUCCUGUGCGGUAGAUAUCUGAGCUACAAGCCAAUCACUCUCAUUGUAAAGAGAACUGAUCCGGAAAUGGGAAUCCCGAAGAACAAAAUGUUUUGCAAGUUUGGCCAAUAAACUGACACUUAAUUAGUGGAGUUAUCACAUAACCAGUCACGGCACAUUGGUGAUGCUAAUGCAAUACUCCCAACAGAAUGGCAGU
Molecule: long non-coding RNA, 3705 nt
Organism: Leucoraja erinaceus (little skate)
Lineage: Eukaryota; Metazoa; Chordata; Chondrichthyes; Rajiformes; Rajidae
Exons: 3
Source: RefSeq, a predicted model, not a curated record